UAUAUCGUAGAACACUUUAUUCGUUUACGUAAAAAACAUUUGUCCUUUAGGCGAUUAUUUUAAAUGUUUUGGUUGUGAAUCAAUUAUUUGUCUCUACCUUGCUGGAAUUAAUGAUUCCGCAAAGAAAUGAUUAAGACUUAUAAAUUGUUUUUGAUGAGGUGGACAUUGGGUGUAUUUUGUUCGGACAUUAUAUGUCGCAAGAAAGAUGAAGUCGAUGUGUAAAAGAAUCAGGAUACCCGAUUCACCUAGGAUUAUCACUGGACCAAAUUGAUUCUCCAUAAAAAUGCUAUAAAAUUAUCAUCCUAAGAAAAUUGCAUUAAUUUCUGGAGACAAUGAUGAAAUAAUAUUCUCUCUUCUGAAUCAUAAGCACAAAGAGAUAAUCUGGGAAAAGUUUUAAAGAUUUUCAAAUAUUGACAAUGGAUAUUGGAUAUAAAAGAGGUUUCUGACCAUUUUGGCAUCCCUUAAAACACAUGGAUGUGUGUGUAUGUAUGUGCGAAUAAGAUUUUUCGUCAUCGAUUUCGAGAACACGGAUCAACCAAA
Ctenocephalides felis (cat flea) is the source of this 540-nucleotide long non-coding RNA. RefSeq lists it as uncharacterized. The transcript has 3 exons. NCBI's taxonomy places the organism in Eukaryota, Metazoa, Arthropoda, Insecta, Siphonaptera, Pulicidae. The record is from RefSeq and is a predicted model, not a curated record.